CUCCUUCACAGCUGAUUGCAGUGGGGGAAAAUGGAUCCAGCUUAUGCAGAAUAAUGACAGGAAGGGGAAUGGGAUGAGACCAUAUCCUGCAAGAACCUGGAGAUUCUCUAAGUCUGCUCACAACGGACACAAAAACUUCAAACCCCGUUUUUGAGCUCCAGAUCUGAAAACACAAAUAUUGCAAAAGGGUAUUGGUGAUGACACAAGCAGAGAGAAGAAAUAAAUCUCACUGGGACAGUGUGGACAGGAGUGCCUGUUUGCUCUGGAAAGAAUUGGAAGAAGAAGAAAAGAAGAAAAGAAGUGGAUGGCUGCAGUACAUUAAUUGUACAAGAACUGCAAAAUGGCUGAAAACAGAG
Long non-coding RNA from Vidua macroura (Pin-tailed whydah), 356 nucleotides. RefSeq lists it as uncharacterized. The record is from RefSeq and is a predicted model, not a curated record. NCBI's taxonomy places the organism in Eukaryota, Metazoa, Chordata, Aves, Passeriformes, Viduidae. The transcript is spliced from 3 exons.